GACGAACGCUGGCGGCGUGCUUAACACAUGCAAGUCGAACGGAAAGGCCCUGCUUUUGUGGGGUGCUCGAGUGGCGAACGGUUGAUUAACACGUGAGUAACCUGCCCUUGACUUUGGGAUAACUUCAGGAAACUGGGGCUAAUACCGGAUAGGAGCUCCUGCUGCAUGGUGGGGGUUGGAACGUUUCGGCGGUUGGGGAUGGACUCGCGGCUUAUCAGCUUGUUGGUGGGGUAGUGGCUUACCAAGGCUUUGACGGGUAGCCGGCCUGAGAGGGUGACCGGCCACAUUGGGACUGAGAUACGGCCCAGACUCCUACGGGAGGCAGCAGUGGGGAAUAUUGCACAAUGGGCGGAAGCCUGAUGCAGCAACGCCGCGUGCGGGAUGACGGCCUUCGGGUUGUAAACCGCUUUCGCCUGUGACGAAGCGUGAGUGACGGUAAUGGGUAAAGAAGCACCGGCUAACUACGUG
RNAcentral lists this ribosomal RNA (468 nucleotides) under uncultured bacterium. RNAcentral describes it as "partial 16S ribosomal RNA". It matches the Rfam family "Bacterial small subunit ribosomal RNA", at positions 28 to 507 of the family's 1533-position model. The record is from RNAcentral.